Molecule: long non-coding RNA, 234 nt
Filed under: Phoenix dactylifera (date palm)
Lineage: Eukaryota; Viridiplantae; Streptophyta; Magnoliopsida; Arecales; Arecaceae
Description: long non-coding RNA (PDAC_LNC008483)
Source: RNAcentral
CAGGCAUAUAACUCAUAUGUAUAAAAAUCUGGUUCCCAUUCCAUCCAUGGUCAAACCCAUAUCCACAACAGGAUCUAUGACUAUAACUAUACACUAUAUACAAUAAAAGGUUUAUAAUACACCAAAAUGUAUAAACCUUUAUCUAUAUUAUACUAUACUAUGGAGCGGCACAGCUAGCAGGCAAUCUCUAACCCUGCUCCUCUCUAUACAAUACCUGCCCUGCAAUCAAAAACA